UACAGAGGAUGCAAGCGUUAUCCGGAAUGAUUGGGCGUAAAGCGUCUGUAGGUGGCUUUUUAAGUCCGCCGUCAAAUCCCAGGGCUCAACUCUGGACAGGCGGUGGAAACUACCAAGCUGGAGUACGGUAGGGGCAGAGGGAAUUUCCGGUGGAGCGGUGAAAUGCGUAGAGAUGCGGAGGAACACCGAUGGCGAAGGCAGCCCCCUGGGCCAAUACUGACGCUCAGGCACGAAAGCGUGGGGAGCAAACAGG
Molecule: ribosomal RNA, 253 nt
Filed under: uncultured bacterium
Lineage: Bacteria
Description: partial 16S ribosomal RNA
Rfam family: Bacterial small subunit ribosomal RNA
Source: RNAcentral